Lolium rigidum is the source of this 720-nucleotide long non-coding RNA. RefSeq lists it as uncharacterized. The record is from RefSeq and is a predicted model, not a curated record. The transcript has 3 exons. NCBI's taxonomy places the organism in Eukaryota, Viridiplantae, Streptophyta, Magnoliopsida, Poales, Poaceae.
UCCACACUGCCCGGCCCGUCGCCCCGCGGUGCUCUCCAUCUCCCACCCCGGCAGCACCCUCGGCUCUUUGGCGGGUCGUCGGGCAGCGCUCCUCAUUGAAUCGCCGCGCUACCUCCAUACCAAGUUCAGUCCAGAUGCCGGCAUGAUCCGCCGCCGGCGCCACCUCCUCGCGCGGAGGUGUGGGCCUGGAUGCCGCUGCUGCGCCACUCGCUGAGCUUGCUCCAUCCACCCUGCAGCUGUUGCCUCCCGAAGCAAAGCGAGUCUGGAGGAGCAAUGUUUGCCCGUCUCUCUUCAGGAGAAGUAUACAUCAUUUGACAGGAGUAUGAUCUAGGCUUGUGUGGAUGGAAAUUGGUACUGUUGGUAAGAAUAUACAAAAUUGUAAGCCACAUAUCCAACAAAAACAGCGGAUCAGCAAAUACCUUGAGUUAAAUUGGACAACUGUGAUUGUCUGUUGGAAUUAACCUGUCGAAAAGCAGUACGUCCAGGAUUGGUAUCUCCAGGAUCUAUUAACCACAUUGGUUAUGUAAUGUAAUCGAGGAAACUGAAACUGUAUAUAUGCGUAAGGUUUAUAUUGAUUAUAGGAACCUGAAUUUUCGUUUUGCGGCGGCCACAGCUUCUUGGACAUGAUUGACCUCGCCUGGAUCGGCUGCAUCGAGUUUUGCGUGCAGUUGGUUGGUGGUGUGCGCGGAGUUCCUUGUUAGGUGUGUGGUCUGGACCCGG